Molecule: ribosomal RNA, 439 nt
Filed under: uncultured bacterium
Lineage: Bacteria
Description: bacterial SSU rRNA
Rfam family: Bacterial small subunit ribosomal RNA
Source: RNAcentral
GCAAAACGCGAAGAACCUUACCAAGGCUUGACAUAUAGAAGAACGGGUCAGAAAUGAUCAACUCUUUGGACACUUCUAUACAGGUGGUGCAUGGUUGUCGUCAGCUCGUGUCGUGAGAUGUUCGGUUAAGUCCGGCAACGAGCGCAACCCUCGUCCUAUGUUGCCAGCACGUAAUGGUGGGAACUCAUGGGAUACUGCCGUGGUCAACACGGAGGAAGGUGGGGAUGACGUCAAAUCAUCAUGCCCCUUAUGUCUUGGGCUUCACGCAUGCUACAAUGGCCGGUACAAUGGGCGGCGAUACCGUAAGGUGGAGCGAAUCCCAAAAAGCCGGUCUCAGUUCGGAUUGGGGUCUGCAACUCGACCCCAUGAAGUCGGAGUCGCUAGUAAUCGCAGAUCAGCAACGCUGCGGUGAAUACGUUCCCGGGUCUUGUACACACCG